UGACUGUGAUACGGUUAGUUAAGUAAUA
This 28-nucleotide small RNA is filed under the name Bombyx mori (domestic silkworm). RNAcentral's name for it is "ovarian small RNA-32017". The record is from RNAcentral. Lineage: Eukaryota; Metazoa; Arthropoda; Insecta; Lepidoptera; Bombycidae.